This is a long non-coding RNA of Pyrgilauda ruficollis (rufous-necked snowfinch), 711 nucleotides long. RefSeq lists it as uncharacterized. NCBI's taxonomy places the organism in Eukaryota, Metazoa, Chordata, Aves, Passeriformes, Passeridae. The record is from RefSeq and is a predicted model, not a curated record. The transcript is spliced from 3 exons.
CAGAACGCAACGGGAAGGAGAAUAAAACAAAGGGCAAGGCAGCGCUAGAGCGGAGCGUGCACCGGCGGGGAGGAAUGUCACAGGGAUGAGGGAACAGCGAGGGCGCACGGUACCUGGAGAGGGACGCUUCCAUGGAGAGUAGCAAAAACCCGCAGGGCUGCAGGAGGAAAUCCCUCACGGCUGACCAUGAGUGGAUCUGCUCAGCAGGUCCGGGCAAUAAACCCAUCCUUUGCAGCGAGAUGCAAAACCUGCCCUGUCUGGAGAAAGAAAAGUGGUGGUCGGACAAUGGGACUCAUUCCGAGAACAGCCUUAUAAACACCUGGGCUAGAGAACAUGGUACUGAGUGGGUAUACCACAUUCCUUACCAUGCACCAACUGCUGGGAAAGUUGAGUGGUGCAACGGACUGCUUAAAACCACCUUGAAGGCACUGAGCAGGGGUGUCGCAUGUCCUGGCUAGAUGAGCUCCGCUGAAUCCCAGCUACCAGUGCAAGCGCAGCACGAAAACAAAAGAGCAGCACCACGGGUCCUGGGGUGGAACUGGGGUAACUUUAUUCAAUGGCAAAACUCCCCCUCCCCAGCAUCCCAGAAUGCCAAACUGAGGGCAGACAAUAGCUUAUAAACGGGGGGAGGUCUCAGGGGAGGAUACAAUCUUUAACUAAUCAGGAAAACUGGGAGUAAAAAACAAGGCGGGGAAUACAAUGUAUAAACCA